UCCCUGGUGGUCCAGCGGCUAAGACUCUGCAUUGCCAAUGCAGGGGGCCCAGGUUCAAUCCCUGGUCGGGGAA
Non-coding RNA from Aethalodelphis obliquidens (Pacific white-sided dolphin), 73 nucleotides. The record is from the annotation of a RefSeq genome assembly. NCBI's taxonomy places the organism in Eukaryota, Metazoa, Chordata, Mammalia, Artiodactyla, Delphinidae.